RNAcentral lists this ribosomal RNA (274 nucleotides) under uncultured bacterium. RNAcentral's name for it is "partial 16S ribosomal RNA". It matches the Rfam family "Bacterial small subunit ribosomal RNA", at positions 523 to 796 of the family's 1533-position model. The record is from RNAcentral.
AUACGGAGGGUGCGAGCGUUAAUCGGAAUUACUGGGCGUAAAGGGCGCGUAGGUGGUUAGGUCAGUCGGAUGUGAAAGCCCCGGGCUCAACCUGGGAAUGCCAUUCGAUACUGCCUAGCUAGAGUGUGGUAGAGGGAAGCGGAAUUCCGGGUGUAGCGGUGAAAUGCGUAGAUAUCCGGAGGAACACCAGUGGCGAAGGCGGCUUCCUGGAUCAACACUGACACUGAGGCGCGAAAGCGUGGGGAGCAAACAGGAUUAGAAACCCCAGUAGUCC